ACCUACAGAACAAUGUAGCCCACAGCUGAGGACGCCCCCGACUCUUUUUCUUUUACACAAGCGCCGACCCGAUGCCUGCAAAAAGAAAAAGCUCCUCAAAUCCUCCCAAUCGGCAGGCUAUGAUGUUCAUCAGCAUCCAUGAGGGCUACCAGAGUCUGAGACCUGAUCCUCAAGACAUGGUGCAAAGCGUCCGUGAGUCAGAAUUUGCAUCCUGAGUUAUGAAGUGGGAAAGACAAACAGCUGCUUUUGAAAUCGGAGCUGAACAGUAGGUAUUGUAAAAUCAAAAACAGAGACAAGUCAAAUGGGAAAUAACGCAAAAAGAGACUCAAGAAUGGAAAAGCUUUUGAAGCCAGACAGACUGAUGGAGAACAUUCUACAAAUCUGUAUCAGUGAAUGAUUAAUUAAUUUCUGUUGAAUGAUCUGUUCUAGCCUUGCAAGAUAUCAGUUCCCAUUUCUUUCACACUUUUACAGAAGAUCUCAAGAGACCGCUAGUUCAAAAGACGGUUCAAUUUAGAGUUCCCAUUGGAAAUGGUUUCAGAGAGUCUUUGCCAUAUGUUGGGCUUUGAUGU
Cottoperca gobio is the source of this 569-nucleotide long non-coding RNA. RefSeq lists it as uncharacterized. Lineage: Eukaryota; Metazoa; Chordata; Actinopteri; Perciformes; Bovichtidae. The transcript has 3 exons. The record is from RefSeq and is a predicted model, not a curated record.